Molecule: ribosomal RNA, 238 nt
Filed under: uncultured bacterium
Lineage: Bacteria
Description: partial 16S ribosomal RNA
Rfam family: Bacterial small subunit ribosomal RNA
Source: RNAcentral
CGGCGGACGGGUGAGUAACGCGUGGGUAACCUGCCUCGUACAGGGGGAUAACAGUUGGAAACGGCUGCUAAUACCGCAUAGGCGCACAGUACCGCAUGGUACGGUGUGAAAAACUCCGGUGGUAUGAGAUGGACCCGCGUCUGAUUAGGUAGUUGGUGGGGUAACGGCCUACCAAGCCGACGAUCAGUAGCCGACCUGAGAGGGUGACCGGCCACAUUGGGACUGAGACACGGCCCAA